GCCGACUUAGCUCAGUAGGUAGAGCAACUGACUCGUAAUCAGUAGGUCACCAGUACGAUUCCGGUAGUCGGCACCA
This 76-nucleotide transfer RNA is filed under the name Vibrio cholerae. RNAcentral's name for it is "tRNA-Thr". It matches the Rfam family "tRNA". Rfam says of the family: Transfer RNA (tRNA) molecules are approximately 80 nucleotides in length. Their secondary structure includes four short double-helical elements and three loops (D, anti-codon, and T loops). Further hydrogen bonds mediate the characteristic L-shaped molecular structure. tRNAs have two regions of fundamental functional importance: the anti-codon, which is responsible for specific mRNA codon recognition, and the 3' end, to which the tRNAs corresponding amino acid is attached (by aminoacyl-tRNA synthetases). tRNAs cope with the degeneracy of the genetic code in two manners: having more than one tRNA (with a specific anti-codon) for a particular amino acid; and 'wobble' base-pairing, i.e. permitting non-standard base-pairing at the 3rd anti-codon position. The record is from RNAcentral. Lineage: Bacteria; Pseudomonadati; Pseudomonadota; Gammaproteobacteria; Vibrionales; Vibrionaceae.